This 487-nucleotide ribosomal RNA is filed under the name uncultured bacterium. Its description in RNAcentral is "bacterial SSU rRNA". It matches the Rfam family "Bacterial small subunit ribosomal RNA", at positions 501 to 987 of the family's 1533-position model. The record is from RNAcentral.
CUACGUGCCAGCAGCCGCGGUAAUACGUAGGUCCCGAGCGUUGUCCGGAUUUAUUGGGCGUAAAGCGAGCGCAGGCGGUUAGAUAAGUCUGAAGUUAAAGGCUGUGGCUUAACCAUAGUACGCUUUGGAAACUGUUUAACUUGAGUGCAAGAGGGGAGAGUGGAAUUCCAUGUGUAGCGGUGAAAUGCGUAGAUAUAUGGAGGAACACCGGUGGCGAAAGCGGCUCUCUGGCUUGUAACUGACGCUGAGGCGCGAAAGCCAGGGGAGCGAACGGGAUUAGAUACCCCGGUAGUCCUGGCCGUAAACGAUGGGUACUAGGUGUAGGAGGUAUCGACCCCUUCUGUGCCGGAGUUAACGCAAUAAGUACCCCGCCUGGGGAGUACGACCGCAAGGUUGAAACUCAAAGGAAUUGACGGGGGCCCGCACAAGCGGUGGAGUAUGUGGUUUAAUUCGACGCAACGCGAAGAACCUUACCAGGUCUUGACAU